Phascolarctos cinereus (koala) is the source of this 488-nucleotide non-coding RNA. Lineage: Eukaryota; Metazoa; Chordata; Mammalia; Diprotodontia; Phascolarctidae. The record is from RefSeq and is a predicted model, not a curated record.
GCCUGGACUGCUCUGCUUUCUGGCAUCUCAAAUCUUUUUCCUUUCUUCCUAGUAAUCUGAGAUCUCUCUGCCUUCUCCGGAGCUCAUUGCUCUGCCUUUUGGAUGCCAGCUCUGUGCUUGCAGGUCCCAGGUUGGAAUUUCUCCCCUGAGGGCAAGGCAUUGGCUUUUGUAACUCCUCUGGGACUUCACUCUCUGGAAAGCCCUGCAGGCCAGCCUCCUGCCUAGGAAGAGAAGAGAAAGACCUACCCCAUAGGGAUUCUUCUCCUCCCUGCCCAGCUCAAUCUGCCAAGCACCAAGGCCAGGCCCAAAGCAGGGAGCCUGGAGCCAGAGGGAAUGGCCCCUGGGAGCCACAGCCCCCCACCCCAGGGUUUGGUGACGUUCAAGGAUGUGGCUGUGGACUUCACCCAUGAGGAGUGGGGGCUCUUGGACCAUCCUCAGAAGGAGUUGUACAAGGGAGUCAUGUUGGAAAAUGCCCAGAACCUGCUCUC